ACCCGCUGAACUUAAGCAUAUCAAUAAGCGGAGGAAAAGAAACCAACAGGGAUUGCCCUAGUAACGGCGAGUGAAGCGGCAACAGCUCAAAUUUGAAAUCUGGCGUCUUUGGCGUCCGAGUUGUAAUUUGCAGAGGGCGCUUUGGCAUUGGCAGCGGUCCAAGUUCCUUGGAACAGGACGUCACAGAGGGUGAGAAUCCCGUACGUGGUCGCUAGCCUUUACCGUGUAAAGCCCCUUCGACGAGUCGAGUUGUUUGGGAAUGCAGCUCUAAAUGGGAGGUACAUUUCUUCUAAAGCUAAAUAUUGGCCAGAGACCGAUAGCGCACAAGUAGAGUGAUCGAAAGAUGAAAAGCACUUUGGAAAGAGAGUCAAACAGCACGUGAAAUUGUUGAAAGGGAAGCGCUUGCAGCCAGACUUGCUUACAGUUGCUCAUCCGGGUUUCUACCCGGUGCACUCUUCUGUAGGCAGGCCAGCAUCAGUUUGGGCGGUAGGAUAAAGGUCUCUGUCACGUACCUCCUUUCGGGGAGGCCUUAUAGGGGAGACGACAUACUACCAGCCUGGACUGAGGUCCGCGCAUCUGCUAGGAUGCUGGCGUAAUGGCUGU
RNAcentral lists this ribosomal RNA (603 nucleotides) under uncultured fungus. Its description in RNAcentral is "eukaryotic LSU rRNA". It matches the Rfam family "Eukaryotic large subunit ribosomal RNA", at positions 23 to 641 of the family's 3401-position model. The record is from RNAcentral. Lineage: Eukaryota; Fungi.